UACGGAGGGUGCAAACGUUGCUCGGAAUCAUUGGGCGUAAAGCGCACGUAGGCGGUUCGUUAAGUCGGAUGUGAAAGCCCUCGGCUCAACCGAGGAAGGGCAUCCGAAACUGGCGUGCUUGAGUAUGGAAGGGGGUCUCGGAAUUCCCGGUGUAGAGGUGAAAUUCGUAGAUAUCGGGAGGAACACCAGUGGCGAAGGCGGCUACCUGGACAAUUGCUGACGCUCAGGCACGAAAGCGUGGGGAGCAAAAGGG
This 253-nucleotide ribosomal RNA is filed under the name uncultured bacterium. RNAcentral describes it as "partial 16S ribosomal RNA". It matches the Rfam family "Bacterial small subunit ribosomal RNA", at positions 524 to 776 of the family's 1533-position model. The record is from RNAcentral.